Gastrolobium bilobum is the source of this 673-nucleotide long non-coding RNA. RefSeq lists it as uncharacterized. The record is from RefSeq and is a predicted model, not a curated record. NCBI's taxonomy places the organism in Eukaryota, Viridiplantae, Streptophyta, Magnoliopsida, Fabales, Fabaceae. The transcript is spliced from 3 exons.
UACUCCUUUCUUUCUUCUUUUCCACGAGUCUUUAUUCUCCUUUGAGUAGCCUUGGCCGAACCACAAUUUUAAGGAAGAACAAGUUUUGUGCAUGAAUUUCUAGGCCAUAAAACUCUUAGCUUUGUACACAAAAUUGGAAGCCUUUGAUCUUGUGAGUACCACCUAGUCUUUAGAUUAUUGAGAGGGGCUAUUUUGAGUGAGAUUAUCCUUCUCUUUUCCAUUGACCUACAUGCUAGUUUGGGUAUUUGGAAUGAGCUUUUGAGUAGUUUGAAGUGUGGAGAUUGAUUACCUGUUAUCGUGGAAGUUAUCUAAGGUUGGAGACGAGCAAUCUAGUGUUGGAAGAUUAGUUGUUGGGAACUUGGAAGUAAUUUCUUGAAGACCAAGUAAGCUUGAUUUGGGAGCUUCGAGAGGUACUCCGACAGCGGCAAGAUAGUUAUCCUAGAGUAGGAGAAUGGCUCAGGAUUAAAGUAUGCUUAGCUUUGGGAGAUUUGAUGAGAUAUUAUGGGAUUUAUGUACAUAUGUUUUGUAGCAUGACGUAUGAUCAUGCAUAUGUAUAUUUUGAUGUCUGUAUUUGAUAAAUAUGUAUUUGUAUGGUGUAUUCAGUUAUUUAAUUUGGACUCUAUUAUGUAUAAGUAAUUAUAUCUGUUAAGAUUAAGUAUGAGACAGUUCGCAU